This 600-nucleotide ribosomal RNA is filed under the name Bacillus amyloliquefaciens. RNAcentral describes it as "bacterial SSU rRNA". It matches the Rfam family "Bacterial small subunit ribosomal RNA", at positions 49 to 632 of the family's 1533-position model. Lineage: Bacteria; Bacillati; Bacillota; Bacilli; Caryophanales; Bacillaceae. The record is from RNAcentral.
CUAUACAUGCAGUCGAGCGGACAGAUGGGAGCUUGCUCCCUGAUGUUAGCGGCGGACGGGUGAGUAACACGUGGGUAACCUGCCUGUAAGACUGGGAUAACUCCGGGAAACCGGGGCUAAUACCGGAUGGUUGUCUGAACCGCAUGGUUCAAACAUAAAAGGUGGCUUCGGCUACCACUUACAGAUGGACCCGCGGCGCAUUAGCUAGUUGGUGAGGUAACGGCUCACCAAGGCGACGAUGCGUAGCCGACCUGAGAGGGUGAUCGGCCACACUGGGACUGAGACACGGCCCAGACUCCUACGGGAGGCAGCAGUAGGGAAUCUUCCGCAAUGGACGAAAGUCUGACGGAGCAACGCCGCGUGAGUGAUGAAGGUUUUCGGAUCGUAAAGCUCUGUUGUUAGGGAAGAACAAGUGCCGUUCAAAUAGGGCGGCACCUUGACGGUACCUAACCAGAAAGCCACGGCUAACUACGUGCCAGCAGCCGCGGUAAUACGUAGGUGGCAAGCGUUGUCCGGAAUUAUUGGGCGUAAAGGGCUCGCAGGCGGUUUCUUAAGUCUGAUGUGAAAGCCCCCGGCUCAACCGGGGAGGGUCAUUGGAAA